Molecule: ribosomal RNA, 451 nt
Filed under: uncultured bacterium
Lineage: Bacteria
Description: bacterial SSU rRNA
Rfam family: Bacterial small subunit ribosomal RNA
Source: RNAcentral
CAGCAGUGGGGAAUAUUGCACAAUGGGCGCAAGCCUGAUGCAGCCAUGCCGCGUGUAUGAAGAAGGCCUUCGGGUUGUAAAGUACUUUCAGCAGUGAGGAAGGUGGGUAUGUUAAUAGCAUACUCAUUUGACGUUAGCUGCAGAAGAAGCACCGGCUAACUCCGUGCCAGCAGCCGCGGUAAUACGGAGGGUGCGAGCGUUAAUCGGAAUUACUGGGCGUAAAGCGCAUGCAGGUGGUUUGUUAAGUCAGAUGUGAAAGCCCGGGGCUCAACCUCGGAAUUGCAUUUGAAACUGGCAAACUAGAGUACUGUAGAGGGGGUAGAAUUUCAGGUGUAGCGGUGAAAUGCGUAGAGAUCUGAAGGAAUACCGGUGGCGAAGGCGGCCCCCUGGACAGAUACUGACACUCAGAUGCGAAAGCGUGGGGAGCAAACAGGAUUAGAUACCCUGGUAG